UGUUCUAACAUAAAAUCUUGUGCCAUAGAUGAUAAGACUAAUUAACUCAUACUGGUUUUACAAGUCAUAGUAAGAGCCCAGAGUAAUGUAAAGAUAGAUCAUACAGUCAAGUUCCAAGGUCUCUCUGGUUCCGAGCAAAGAAGAUCAAAAAGUAUCCUUUUAGGAGUAUACCUGGCAUUGAUUCAAACAUAACCAAGACAAAUAAAAUCAGAAGAAAACUAAUCAAGUGAAGAGUGCAAAAUCAACAUUUUUACCACACAAUAUGAUUAAAAGAGACGUGGGUCGAAAUAGAAAAAGAAAAGAAGCAAAAAGGUUGAAGAACUACACCUAGAAAAACUAACAUAGAAAGAGUCGUUCCUGGAGAGUUUCCUAUCUCCUCUACCACCACAUGGAAAUCCCCAAUGAAAUUCACAUUCACAUGAAUCAACUCACUCUCCACAACCCUAGAUUCUGCCAUCAAAUCCUCCGCGCUUCUGGUUACCACUUCUGGUUAUCAAAACCCAACAAUAUAAGUAUAAUUAGAAAGAUAACAUUACGAGCUUUCUAACGGUAUCUUCGAAUUGCCCGUCAGAAUUCAGACAAUCAAUUUAUUAGCUGACGAACUUUCAGCUCCGGUCAAAUUUCAAAAAUAUAAAAGUUUAUGUAUUUUUUGAGCAAAAAAAUAGAUUUGAUCAAAAAAUGUUGAGUAUAAUUUGUAUAUUUAUAGGCAA
RNAcentral lists this long non-coding RNA (710 nucleotides) under Salvia miltiorrhiza (redroot sage). Its description in RNAcentral is "long non-coding RNA (SMIL_LNC007820)". The record is from RNAcentral. Lineage: Eukaryota; Viridiplantae; Streptophyta; Magnoliopsida; Lamiales; Lamiaceae.